CUGGUUUCAAUCCCCAGUACCACAAAACAAAAAUCAAAAUAAAACCGUACCUUUCUCUUGUUUAAAGCCUCCCUCAGCGAUGUAGAAGAGUUAAGCUGCAGUGAGCGGGGAGGUGGCCCCAGAGCCCCUGAAGUCCCUCCUGGCACAGUGCCAAAGCGGUUCCUGUUUUGUCACGGAGCACACUUCUCACUGGAGAGCCCCCACGCUGCCUGCAAAUGGGGCCAGCGCCGGCACUGCAUUCAGGAUGCUGAGCCAGAAUAGAGACCCGUGCGGGUGACUCGUGGCCACGUCUCCUGGUCCCUCCGGGGUCACACUGGACAGGGCGAGUGUGUCAGUGACACUGCCCAGCACCACCUCCCGGGGCUGAGUGGCUGUGAAAGACCUGCUUGAGACAGCGGCGGCUGCGGGCUUCUGCUGAGGUGGACACAUUGGAGGGGCUGCGUCCCUUCCACGAGACCCCUGCUUCCUGUCCCUAACAGCACGUGGGCCUGUGGUGGGAGGAGGAGGCUGGGCGGAAACUUCAGGCUGGCAGGGGUGUGUGCCCUGCCCAGGGGACAUCCUGCUGGGUGCCAAGGGCAACACGAAAGCGAGUGACUUGGGGUUUGAGGAGCCCCAAGUCCCCUGUCCUGUGUCCUGGAAAUGUCCUGAGGCAGGGAGGUGACGGCCCCUAAGUGCACUUCUGGAGCCUGGGCUCAUCCUGCUGCUUCCCUGGACUCCAUUUGAGCUGCAGACGUCCCCUUCUCCCUGGUGCCUCUGCCAGCUUCUCACUGUCAACCCCAGGCACAGGCCCAUACUCGAGACCACCCCGGGGCACCCGCCCUGCCAGUCCUCCACUGGAGCUGCCCCCGGUCGCCUGAACCGCAAACUCUGAGGGCCCCAUCUCUCUUGGGCUGUACCUCUUGGGAGAUGACAUGGACUGAUGACGCCAUGGCCAUGUGGCUCACGCUGGGAUGCCUGGCAGGCCGGCACACAGGCUGUGCCCUCCGUGUGAAGCCUGCCACACUGGGGAUCCCACCCACUUGGCUCUCCUCCCAAGAGGAGGCCCAGCGAGCCCAUCCUGUGUGUGCCCCAUCCUCUUCUGCCCCCUGUUCACCUCUGUGGCCUACAGAUAGGGAUCCUGCUCCCAGCACAGCUGUAGCCUCUGCUGGCUGUGAGAGGCAGGCUGGGCACUGGGUGGUCAGGAGGAUGGCCGGCCAUCUGAGUCUGCGUUCGGACCCUUUGCUGCUGCUGCCGGUCAACCAGCUGGCAGGAAACCCAUCCUGGGUGUAGAAGCAAGGGACUGGAUAACAGAGACUUGUCAAAAGCAGUGGACAGCAGAAGACCCUGGACUCCAUGGAGCCUGCAGAAGAGGAGCGGGCAGGGGCGAUGCCAGCAGUUGCAGAGAGAGGAGCCUGACUGGCCAGCUGGGGGUUGGGGGCCGGUGGGCACAGAGGGCACCUGAGCGGCCUGGGAUGCUCAGGGCCCCGAGGUCAUUUCCCCAGCCUGUCUCCCUUGUUUCUGGGAUAGCAGAGGUGGAUUUGAGUAAAUUGAUGUUUUGUACAGCAAAACCUGUCCCAAAUGCAAUGUUCCAAGAGCUCAUCAUUGUUUGCUCUGGUUCCUGUGCCCUGCACAAGGCAGGACCCUGAGCAGCAGUGGUCGUCAGCACUGGGCCUCAGCCAAAAAACAAAGGAGGAAAAGUGGCUUCAGAGACUUUCAGUGUCCUCAGCACACAACAGCCAACAGCUUCUGAAGGGACAAGGCUCCGAGCUGCUGCCAUGGCCCAAGGGAAGGUGGCAGAGAGCAGGCAUGUUGUGACAGUGAGGGUUCCCUGUGCCCCGUCCCCACCUGGGGUUCUGUGCCUUUGGUUACGAUGCUGGUGUCCAGGGUGGGAUACACACGGCAUAGCCCCGUGGCUGUCCUAGCACCCAUGGUGCUGGGGCAGGGACAAGCACAUUGUUGUGACCAGCCCACUGUGUCAUAGGGGAUGAUGUUCAGGCCAGGGUACCUUGCUCCUCUCUCUGCAGCAUCUGUCACCCCCACUGACAUUCUGUGGCAGUGUGGAGGACAUAUGGGCAGUCUGUGCAUGCAUGGGCAGAGCUGUGUUCCAA
This is a long non-coding RNA of Fukomys damarensis (Damara mole-rat), 2087 nucleotides long. RefSeq lists it as uncharacterized. Lineage: Eukaryota; Metazoa; Chordata; Mammalia; Rodentia; Bathyergidae. The record is from RefSeq and is a predicted model, not a curated record. The transcript has 3 exons.